Ostrea edulis (European flat oyster) is the source of this 1487-nucleotide long non-coding RNA. RefSeq lists it as uncharacterized. The record is from RefSeq and is a predicted model, not a curated record. The transcript is spliced from 3 exons. Lineage: Eukaryota; Metazoa; Mollusca; Bivalvia; Ostreida; Ostreidae.
CCACCCUUCCAUGCCAUACCCCGACAUAGGGAUCCACUGGGGAAAUGAAAAUAUACAUUCAAUCUUAUAUCGGAAAAAUUCAACAGUAGAAAUUGGUGAUUUACCUGUGAAGUGAUGAAUCUUUAAAAUACUGGACCAGCAAUGUUUGUAUAUGAGCCUAGUCUUUUCAAAUAAUGCUUUUUAAAACGAAAUUUGAAAAUAUAUCUUAAUCUUUAUUAUGUUUGGUACUUUUGGAUAUAUGUUGGAGACAUGUACAUCACACAUUAUGUACUAUUAUUCAGUGAAAUGUAUUUUUUUUUUAAAAUAAUCAACAACUCCAAAGCGCCUUAAGUUGUUUGUAUACAUAUUGCGUUAUUCUCUGAUAAAACACAAACUUCAAUUUUGUCGUUGGUUUCAAUAAGCUAGAAUGAUUAAAAUGUUUUCUCCCUUUGCUUUUGUGAUUUGAUAUUGACAUAACUCAAAGCACAACACAUUUUUUCGUAUAUCUGUGUGUAGAUAUCGGUCAACACAUGGUUGGAAACUGUACGGUGUCUGCAAUUGUCAAAGAGUGCUUGUCAAAUAUCAUUGGAUACUGUAUCACGCGUAUCCAAAUGCCCUACAAACAAAGAAGAAUAUGAAUCUGAAGCAAAGAGGAAGAAAUGCAGUCAAUACAACAACGCCAGAUGUCCACCACUUCUGUAUCACUGUGUCUGGAAUGCCCAUACGACAUAUUUGGUCGAGGUGUGUGCAGCAUCACGGUAUAUUAUAGGUAGAAUAUGUGCGUCAUUCAGUCAUAGGAUAUCUCGUCGUUCGUGGGAACUAUAUAGGAAAAUGUUCCUACCUUACCCCUCCGUGUCCGAUGUUUUAUAAGUCUACAGAGUCUUACAAAUACUCUGGAUGUUAUACAUUGGGCGAGAAUUCAAAACCUAUAACAGAUAGGGAAGUUUACAUGGAGAGAGAGAGACAGAGAGAAAGAAAGAGACAGAAACACACAGAAAAAGUAUACUUUGUUUCUAAUUCUAAAUUUCGCAUGCACUCCUUCCCUUAUAAAAAACAAAUAAUAUCUGCUCUCGUGUUGCGAUAUACCAUGCAAUGUCAAUUUCUCAAACGUAUAUAUGACCUGUUUUCCUUGAUGCACAUGAUCAUAUUCAUAUAGCCAUGAACUGCUUUAAGAUGUCAUACGAAGCAUUAAGGUAAGGUUUGCAAUAAAAGGGAGAUAACUAUCGAUGUGCCACAGUGCACUUCCCACUUUAUGACGUCAUAAUGAAAAAUGCGUCACGGCAUAGUUGUAUUGCGGGAAAAUGUGAUAUUUACUUGUUAUCUACUGUCAAGUGUCAAGCGGCGUAUUUGCAAAUAUCCACAACAAAAUAAUAAAAAUGUUUCUCAAAUGAUCAUUUAUAAAUAUUUUUUGAUAUUAUAAAAGUCAACAAUUUUCUAUAUAUAGUAUUCGCUAUGGUAAUUUCCAAUUUAUGUUGUGGUCUUGAAAUAGCCCCUACUGGGCAUCGUCA